RNAcentral lists this ribosomal RNA (506 nucleotides) under uncultured bacterium. RNAcentral's name for it is "partial 16S ribosomal RNA". It matches the Rfam family "Bacterial small subunit ribosomal RNA", at positions 28 to 523 of the family's 1533-position model. The record is from RNAcentral.
GAUGAACGCUAGCUACAGGCUUAACACAUGCAAGUCGAGGGGUAACGAGAGGAAAGCUUGCUUUCCUUGUCGACGACCGGCGCACGGGUGAGUAACGCGUAUCCAACCUGCCCCCAACUAGGGAAUAACCUUGCGAAAGUAAGACUAAUACCCUAUAAUUUCCUCAGAUGCCAUCUGACGAGGAAUAAAGAUUUAUUGGUUGUGGAUGGGGCUGCUUCUGAUUAGCGUGUUGGCGGGGUAACGGCCCACCAAGGCAACGAACAGUAGGGGUUCUGAGAAGAAGGUCCCCCACAUUGGAACUGAGACACGGUCCAAACUCCGACGGGAGGCAGCAGUGAGGAAUAUUGGUCAAUGGGCGGAAGCCUGAACCAGCCAAGUAGCGUGCAGGAUGACGGCCCUAUGGGUUGUAAACUGCUUUUAUACAGGAAUAAAGUUAGCCACGUGUGGUUAUUUGUAGGUACUGUAUGGAUAAGGACCGGCUAAUUCCGUGCCAGCCGCCGCCGUAA